This 368-nucleotide long non-coding RNA is filed under the name Elaeis guineensis (African oil palm). Its description in RNAcentral is "long non-coding RNA (EGUI_LNC068581)". The record is from RNAcentral. Lineage: Eukaryota; Viridiplantae; Streptophyta; Magnoliopsida; Arecales; Arecaceae.
UCUCCCUCAUUAGCAUCUCCAUAUACCUCCGAUGAAACCGUUGGCUUUCAUUCUCCACCUCUCGGAGCUUUUUUCUCAGGACCUCGGAUUCUACCUCUGCGUCCUUGACCGCCUGCUGCUCGUAUACCAGCUAGAUCUUCAACUGCUGCAGCUCGGCCUUCCCCUCCCCAAGGGCGACGGAUAGCUCUUCUAUAGUUCCUCUCUGGGAUUGGAGUUCGUCGGGGUCCCGAACAGGGACGAACUGGGCUCCUUCAGAUAACUGCCUUUGAAGGCGGGCAAUCUCAUCGGUCGCCAUCCUGAGCUUCCUCCUGUAGUCGUCCACCUGCUUGCACUAGCCAGUCCGGUAUGCAUUAUAGUUCGCCUCGACA